This is a long non-coding RNA of Lampris incognitus (smalleye Pacific opah), 855 nucleotides long. RefSeq lists it as uncharacterized. Lineage: Eukaryota; Metazoa; Chordata; Actinopteri; Lampriformes; Lampridae. The record is from RefSeq and is a predicted model, not a curated record. The transcript is spliced from 3 exons.
UCCUGCUACAGUCGCUUAUUCACUUCCCCGCCGCCCUCGCCGACUUCUACUUGUCGGGGUCGCUGGAAGAGGGAAAACUUGAUCCUGAUUUCGCAUCCGACGAUGACGAAUGGCCCUCCUCCUUGCAGGCAAUCGGGAAGAAGCUGUGCAGUUCUGGGCUGCUCCAACGGUAGGGGCUAACUUCAAGUUUGGAAAAAGACUGAACGCAAAAUACACAAGCCUUUACUUCAUGAAGAUUGCCCCUGUCUGAGACCAUAGUUUACAUAGAUUCCCUGGCCAUACAGAGGACCAAGAUAUUCGCCAGAAGUGGAUUAAGAAUACCAACAGAAAGGAAUUUGUUCCCAAUAAAAACAGCACGGGCUGUACUGUACAUCUGGCAUCCAUCCCAUCUUCCAGCGGAGCCGUAAACAGUAGAGGCUUCAGCAUCCAUUGCAUCUGUCAGUACCCAUGAGGAGAGAAGAAGGGAAAUGCGGCUAUCCACUGCAAAAUGGAGAGGGGAGGGAAGAUCAUAGGAAAGAAGAGAGGUGGUAGGGGAGUAUAAAGCAAGAAUAAGAAAAGUGGAAGAAGACGUAUCUGAGAAGAGAAGAGAAAAGGAAAGACAGAAAAUGGCCUAUAUGGCCUCUAUGAACUGUACAUAUCUACAUCCUAAACCAGAUGAGCAGCUGCUUAGCUGUCAGUGAUCAUCACAUGGACAAACCAGGGGUUUAAACAGUGCUCAGCAUUGACUUCAAAUGUUCUGUGCAAUAUUAGUGUGGUGGAUAACGUUCCCCCUAGGUGGCAUUAUGACAUUAUCAACCCUCCAAUGGCCUUCUGAGCAUUGUAUUAUAAAUGUCAUUCUAAAAAUAAAAAAACAAA